This 400-nucleotide ribosomal RNA is filed under the name uncultured Strobilidiidae. RNAcentral describes it as "partial small subunit ribosomal RNA". It matches the Rfam family "Eukaryotic small subunit ribosomal RNA", at positions 30 to 432 of the family's 1831-position model. The record is from RNAcentral. Lineage: Eukaryota; Ciliophora; Spirotrichea; Choreotrichida; Strobilidiidae.
GCUUGUCUCAAAGAUUAAGCCAUGCAUGUCUAAGUAUAAGCACCCUUAUACUGCGAAACUGCGUACAGCUCAUUAUAUCAGCAAUUAUUUAUUUGAAGGUCACCUAUUACAUGGAUAACCGUGGUAAUUCUAGAGCUAAUACAUGCUGUAAGCCCGACUUUUCGGAAGGGCCGUAUUUAUUAGAUAACAGACCAAUGCCCCCCCGGGCUUUGUGGUGACUCAUAGUAACUAAUCGGAUCGCAUGGGCCUGUCCCGCGACAAACCAUUCAAGUUUCUGCCCCAUCAGCUUUCGAUGGUAGUGUAUUGGACUACCAUGGCUUUUACGGGUAACGGAGGAUUAGGGUUCGAUUCCGGAGAGGGAGCCUGAGAAACGGCUACCACAUCUAAGGAAGGCAGCAGG